Molecule: ribosomal RNA, 497 nt
Filed under: uncultured bacterium
Lineage: Bacteria
Description: partial 16S ribosomal RNA
Rfam family: Bacterial small subunit ribosomal RNA
Source: RNAcentral
GAUGAACGCUGGCGGCGUGCCUAAUACAUGCAAGUCGAGCGAACGGACGAGAAGCUUGCUUCUCUGAUGUUAGCGGCGGACGGGUGAGUAACACGUGGAUAACCUACCUAUAAGACUGAGAUAACUUCGGGAAACCGGAGCUAAUACCGGAUAAUAUUUUGAACCGCAUGGUUCAAAAGUGAAAGACGGUCUUGCUGUCACUUAUAGAUGGAUCCGCGCUGCAUUAGCUAGUUGGUAAGGUAACGGCUUACCAAGGCAACGAUGCAUAGCCGACCUGAGAGGGUGAUCGGCCACACUGGAACUGAGACACGGUCCAGACUCCUACGGGAGGCAGCAGUAGGGAAUCUUCCGCAAUGGGCGAAAGCCUGACGGAGCAACACCGCGUGAGUGAUGAAGGUCUUCGGAUCGUAAAACUCUGUUAUUAGGGAAGAACAUAUGUGUAAGUAACUGUGCACAUCUUGACGGUACCUAAUCAGAAAGCCACGGCUAACUACGUG